This 490-nucleotide ribosomal RNA is filed under the name uncultured bacterium. RNAcentral's name for it is "bacterial SSU rRNA". It matches the Rfam family "Bacterial small subunit ribosomal RNA", at positions 26 to 507 of the family's 1533-position model. The record is from RNAcentral.
AGGAUGAACGCUGGCGGCGUGCUUAACACAUGCAAGUCGAACGAAGCUACUUUAAUCGUAUUUCGUUCGGAUUAGUAAAUUUUAGUGACUGAGUGGCGGACGGGUGAGUAACGCGUGGGUAACCUGCCUCACACAGGGGGAUAACAGUUGGAAACGGCUGCUAAUACCGCAUAAGCGCACAGUACCGCAUGGUACAGUGUAGAAAAACUCCGGUGGUGUAAGAUGGACCCGCGUCUGAUUAGCUAGUUGGCAGGGCAACGGCCUACCAAGGCGACGAUCAGUAGCCGACCUGAGAGGGUGACCGGCCACAUUGGGACUGAGACACGGCCCAAACUCCUACGGGAGGCAGCAGGUGGGGAAUAUUGCACAAGUGGGGGAAACCCUGAUGCAGCGACGCCGCGUGAGCGAAGAAGUAUUUCGGUAUGUAAAGCUCUAUCAGCAGGGAAGAAAAAUGACGGUACCUGACUAAGAAGCCCCGGCUAACUACGUG